GAUGAACGCUGGCGGCGUGCCUAAUACAUGCAAGUCGAGCGAACAGACGAGGAGCUUGCUCCUCUGACGUUAGCGGCGGACGGGUGAGUAACACGUGGAUAACCUACCUAUAAGACUGGGAUAACUUCGGGAAACCGGAGCUAAUACCGGAUAAUAUAUUGAACCGCAUGGUUCAAUAGUGAAAGACGGUCUUGCUGUCACUUAUAGAUGGAUCCGCGCCGCAUUAGCUAGUUGGUAAGGUAACGGCUUACCAAGGCAACGAUGCGUAGCCGACCUGAGAGGGUGAUCGGCCACACUGGAACUGAGACACGGUCCAGACUCCUACGGGAGGCAGCAGUAGGGAAUCUUCCGCAGUGGGCGAAAGCCUGACGGAGCAACGCCGCGUGAGUGAUGAAGGUCUUCGGAUCGUAAAACCCUGUUAUUAGGGAAGAACAAAUGUGUAAGUAACUAUGCACGUCUUGACGGUACCUAAUCAGAAAGCCACGGCUAACUACGUG
This 497-nucleotide ribosomal RNA is filed under the name uncultured bacterium. Its description in RNAcentral is "partial 16S ribosomal RNA". It matches the Rfam family "Bacterial small subunit ribosomal RNA", at positions 28 to 507 of the family's 1533-position model. The record is from RNAcentral.